This is a long non-coding RNA of Acanthopagrus latus (yellowfin seabream), 6948 nucleotides long. RefSeq lists it as uncharacterized. The transcript is spliced from 4 exons. NCBI's taxonomy places the organism in Eukaryota, Metazoa, Chordata, Actinopteri, Spariformes, Sparidae. The record is from RefSeq and is a predicted model, not a curated record.
UAGCUGGCUGCUCGGAGAGGAAGGAGGGCAGAGAGAGAGCAGAGGUUGCCUAGCAACUGCAUCAAAGGGUUCACUUGGGGAGGGACGGACGAACUCCACCAAUAGUGAGGAGGAGUGAGGCAAUCCGACAGUAAACAGAUAAAUAUCAGCUCAAAUACAGUAAGAUUGCCAGUUCAUUGACUGGCUGAACAUUUGCUGACAGUUUAUUUCCAUUGUGGUCCAACAAGUCUUGUUGAGUGUUUGACUGUGUGGACACAUCAAAUACAAAAACUCAUGUGGCACUUCUGCCCUCGUCAUAUUUAAUUGUACAGUUAUCUUCUGUUAUUUUGUUUAUCCCAGUGCAUGGUAGGAUAGAGUCCGGAAACAUUGUCAGCAUUCUGUUAUUGCAGAACCGUCCUAACUAAAUACAUUCUUGUGUUAUGAGUCCAGCAAUAAAAUGGCAAAUCCAAGACAAAGGUAAUUUAAAAAAAUGGCAGUAAGGUCUUUAUGACUAUGACAAUGAAGAUCAGGAACAACAUGAUCACAGAAAUACAAUGAUAGAAAGGCUACUCAAGCCAUAUCCAUUAAAAUAGUUAUCAUGCUAGCCUAUGAGACAUGCUGGCAUUGAUGUUAGCAUGUUGAAAAAAUCUAACACCAAUUUUAGCCUGUGGUAAAAGUAACAUUGUUGUUAGUCUUGUGGAGAAGCUAACACUGAUGUUAGCCUAUAGGAGAAGCUAACACUGAUGCUAGCCAGUUGAAGAGGCUUGCACAAAUGGUAAAUCAUUUAAAAAGCUAAAAUUGAUGUUAGCCUUCUGGAGAAGCUAACAUUUAUGUUAACCUGUUGGAGGAGCCAAUAUUGAUGCUAGCUUGUGGGAAAAGCUGGCACUCAUGUUAGACACUUUAAGAAGCUAACAUUUGCAUGUUGGAGAUGCUAACACUGACAAGUGAAGUGAGACAGCUGUUGUUAUGGAUACAGGAAGUCUCACAUACAUUCUAAAUACAGAACCAGGCAUGACAGAACGAGCACCGAUUGAAGAAUCGUGUUUAUAGUUGUGGUUAAGAUUUCAUAAGGCAAGAUCUGAGGUCUGAGACCGGGUAGUAAACAGAAAAUGGUUUCUUUAAUAUGAAGCUAGGAUUUGUCUUGUUUUCAAAAAUUAAGAUAAGGUAAGCUGUAAUAAGGCCUGUGCAAUUCCCACAACCCUGGACAGGAGUUCAAGUUCCCCAGAUUCAUGCAUCUAAUUAUAUCUCAUAUUGUUGCCAUCGGCACUUAUAAUUAUAGGUGAGGAAGGAAACAAAAAUUACCUGCAUGCACUAAUAUAGCUCAUGAUUUGUUGUUUUUGUCGUAUUUUUUUUAUUUAGCCCACACAGAAUGAGAAAUGGGUAAACAGCAAUUAUUCAUUUUUAGCCUAAGUUUCACGUUGGGACUAUUUCUUGACAAACAGCAGCGUAUCCAUCCUCCCGGAGCUUCUGAGCAGCGUCUCUGGCCGCAGCCAACCGGUUCCCAAGAAAACACCAAGAGCAUGACGACAAACACUUUUCAUGUGUCAGCCUUCAUGUGUGAGAGAGCGGGAGAGACAGUAGAAUUGCUGUGAGGAAGUAAACAGAGGUUCUGGCUGCAGAUCAAAUGUCCUUGUGCAUUUCAAAGUCGGCAUCAAUGCAUGACCUGGAUUUCAAGCUUCUCUCUUUCCCGUCCCCGGGGUCUCCAUCCAUUGUCUGUGUGUUUCUGUGUGUGUGUGUGUGUGUGUGUGUGUGUGUGUGUGUGUGUGUGCAGGAGGGAGAUAGACAGAUGAGAAUUGCACUGUAGGGAAGAAGAGUAUCAGUAAACUGGGAACAGACUGGGUGUGAAUGGAAGAGAGGGUAAUGAGAUAGUUGUUUCUCUUCUUCUUUCUGUGUGAAUGCAGAUUCUGAGCUGUACUCUUGUAGGUUUGUGCUGUCUUGUCUUCUUCCAGGUCUCCGUAGCUCAGGUCUAGUUUGACGAUAUCCUCCCAGAUCCAUACUCUUCAUCUCUGUCGACAGUCUAUCUAUCAUUGUGUCACCCAGAUUGUCCAUGCAAUUAUACCAUCUGUCCUGUGAGAGGGAUCCCUCCACUGCUGCUCUUCCUGAGGUGUCUUAAUUAAAGGGUUUCUUGGUGGAGUUUUCUUUUUCCAAACAGCGGGUCGAAGGACAGAGGAUGUCACUCGCUCUUCUUCUUCUACGUCAUUAUACUGUCAUUAUCACGUUUGCCUCAUAACUGCUGUUCUCAUGAGACAUUUGUUGUUUUACUCACAUCUUUAAUUAGCCUAUAUUCUCUUGGUAGAUAUCUGGCUGCUCAGUACAGAACUUCUUUGCAUGAUUUUAAUAUUUGUUUGUUAAUCAAAUGGCUGAUUAAUUGAGACUCAUGUGUAACUGUUUAUGAAACAUGCGCCAUCAGCGUCUUGUGUUUCUGUUGCCUUCGUGUUUAAAUCUGUCAGAUUCUCUCUGGAGCGUGUUUUGCUUUUUUUUUUUUUUCAGUCUCCUCAUAAAUUAUUUCUUUACCACUUUCAAAACAUCACAUUUGUAAUGUUUUCCAUGAGUCAAGAGAAAAGGGAGAAAAAAAAGCCUUGGGAAAGAGGAAGGACGUUUCUUCUUUCAGUAUUCAACCCACCGGUUCCUUUGAAAAUCGGCCUUGAAAAAUAAAUUGAUUCAGGCGAGAAUAUGCCGUGUGUGUGGACAGCAAAGAAAAAGGCAGUGCCAGAAUGUGUAACUUUUUUUUUUUUUUUACAGACCAGACGUGCAGAAGUUCUCCAUCUGUUCAAACACCGUGUUUUAAAAUUUACACAUGGAGAUAACAGAACGUGCCACCGACAUAAGUACAGACUGACCUAUAUGUUUUUGUGCUUUUAGGUAGACCAAGCAAAACGCAGGCGGGGGCGGGGAGAGGCUGUUUACAGCUGCCCUGGAUGAUAAUUAUGCGAAACGUCUGCAAGAUGGUGAGCAGAAAAAAAAAAAAAAACAAUCACAGAAACACUAGCGCACGUGUUACACGGCAGCUGUGGUGGACUUUAACAACGGAAAUAUCUGAGAUGUCUGAGAAGUCUCUCGUAUCAGGGGAAGGACAGUUAUGACCAGAAACACAAAGCAGGACAGGAGAUACUCAGACAGACGUAACAGAAAGGUGAAUUUCACCAGUGGGCUCAAAGUGACCCGUCCUCCAUUGUCACUUCAAAGCGUCCUCCCUCGUCGCAGGUCUGUUUUGGAUCUGUUUUCAGAUUGCGACACUGAGACAAUUUGACCUAAAUUCUGUCUUGUUUACCUCAAACCUGCCCCGUUAAUUAUAGUCAAAACACACCCUGCAGAGCAGAAAACAUGCUGCUCGACAGCAGGGUCAGCAGUCGUUAAACGCUGGCAAAACAAACCAGGAACGUGAGAGAGGAGUUCAGGUGAGGAGGGGAGGAAGUGUUUGAUGACUGCGUGUGAGGGUGUGACAUAAACAAAUCCAAGCCCUGUAUGAAAACAUAUAGGCGGGUUGUGAGGGGUUGAAAGUCAUUACGUCCGCGAACAGGCCCCCCCUUUCUUUCCUUUUGAUCAGCGGGCUCAUUUCCUCGCCUCUCGUCCCCGCUGACCCACUCCCACCGGCCUCGAUGCUGCAGAGCCAGACAGAGCUACAUCUGUGAUUUCAUAUACAGUAACUCACACACACACACACACACACACACCCUGCACACUCCCAACACCAGCAGCUCUGUUAUGCUCAGUCUAUUUCAUGUCAGCAUGCAGGGAUGUUAAUUCUCACUGCUGUCACACUUUUUCCUGCCACAUAAGCGCAGGUCUGUGGAAGCCAAAGAAAGCUUUCACGUGCAGGACUUCCACUCCCACAGAAGAGAAACCUGCCUGUGACAACAUUUACCUCGGGCUGACACCCAAAUUCUUUCAAAAAACACAUCUUUUGGUGUGAGGAUGUGCUGGAAUCAUUUACAUUACCAGGGAACAUUUUCACGGCCAAAUUCCCGAUUGAUUACAGUUUUAUAUGUGUUUUUAUUUCUUUUUAUCGCGUGUCAUUUAUGUCGUUAGGAUGACAGCGACGUCAAAUCUAUAAGGAACGGGUUCUGCUGGUUUCUUGUUAAACAAUGUGACCUCGGAGACGAGACAGGCUGAGGACAGACGGAGGAGACAAGUCAUUCAUUCAACGAUAUGAAGGCCACCAGCUGAGUCACUUGUUACCUGGUUAAUGAUUUAACACUUGCAGACACUCAGAGAGAGAAAACUGUACAAACUUUGAUCAAUACUUCUGAAAAAGGAGGAUUUCAUGGUGCGUCACAGGAAGGCACAAAAUAAGAACGGUGAAUCAUACGGUCUGAGGAGAAGGUAAAAAAAAUAGGAAAGAGCUUCGGUUUGAAAUAUAACAUGUCGAUGUUCAGAUAAAGAUACACCAGUCGUAGAGGGAAUAUUCAGAGACUCUGGUACAAAUGCAUCUGGUUCUGCACUGAAAAACCUAAAAACUAAAAGCAAAAAAAACAACAAAAAACAGUAAAUCCAGUAAAAUAAUCUGAAAAGCUGAAACCAUAACUUGCUAAUUAGUUGGUAAUUUUUGGUCACUUGAGUAUUUUUUUUUCUUGAGUUUAUUUUUUUCUUUAUAUGUUUUCUAUGCAGUAAUCUGAACCUGUAAACAUUAAUAAAUGUAGUGGAGCAAAAAGAAGAAUGUUUCUCUGUAAGCAGAAGUCAAACGUGACAUGAAAACAUGAGAGUCGAGUACAAUGUACCUGGUCACAUACCACCAUUAACAAAUUAUUUUGUGACACACCUUCCUCUCCGCACAAUUCGGGCGAGUUUUAUGAUGGGAGUGAUUUCACCAUGAGAGUCAGAAUGAAUCUUGGCAUCACAUUUACCUUAAACUGGUUCAGUCGCCCCCCUGAGACUGAGAGAAUGAGGUGUAACAGUGCCGUGCACCCAACCCCCACCCUCUUCAUUUAUGUGACCCACUUUGAGUGCCAGACUCAAGGACUGCCUUGAGAUGUGGAUUUGGAAGAUGCUUUUUGUUGCAACUUUGUGUCAGAACUGUUACAUUUUGUGGAUGACGAUCAACCAAUGUCAGCCGAUGUCACCUCUGUUGGUCUGGGACACUUUUGACUCCGGAUCGAUUCUGGAGACCAACCUUCCAGACGUAUGACACAGAGGUGACCUUGUUUCAUCCCUCAAUAACUCCAUUAUGGGCGGUCAUAAAACAUGUCAUCUCACGUUCACAUUAAAUAUUUACGACCUGCUGCAGGAGGUGAAGGUGUUGUUGGUGGAUUUACAAUCGAGGAGGAUGACAUGCUUGUGACUGCAGAACAUAAGUACAGCCAUGUCACCCCACAACACUGAAAACUGGACACUGGACACGCCUGUUUCCUACCAGUGUGCUGAGUCACUUGCAACCCCAGUUUGCACUCUGCUUUGACAAACACAACCUCAAUCUGACCCCAAGGACGCUAAUCUGCUCUCGCUGUGACCUCACACAUAAUCCAGCUGACGACAGGCGGUGAGUCAGAGCCGGUAUCACUUCCUCUCACUCAUCCGACUCUCAGCCGCAGCUGCUCGUCAGGUGGACGUGCGGAAAUGAGUGCGUUGUUGUUAAAAACAGCUUCACGAGCUUUCACGUCGUGUUCAUACUUGCCAACCUUGAGACUCUACACAUGGGGAGGAUGUCGUAUACGGCUACCUCCAUGAGGUGAACUGGAACGUGCUCGUUUUGUCUGAGAAGACGUCUUGAGGCACCGGUCGUCGUCGAUCAGAAAAGCAAUUGUCAAACUCGACACAAUACAUCGGCUAUGUCUAAAUGCUUCAAAUUAAAAACCUGACAUGAGUGUAAACCUGAAGUCAGUGUGUCUUUCUCAUCCUAUGUACACAGCCACGUACACACCAAUAUCUGCUGAGCUGAGGUGACGCAACAGUCGGCUUUUGUCACCGCUAGUUCUUUGUUUGUUGGUUUGGUUUUUCUGAUCCUGCCAUUGGUCGGCAGUUUCAUUUGGGAGACACCUUCCCUUCCACAACCUGCAUGUGAUUAUAUAAAAAAAAAAUUACCAACAGGUCCCACUGAGCUAGCAACCUACAUGACCAUAACGGUAGAGUACCAGCCCUCACCUGGUCGCUAACUGCGUGCCCGAGAAGUUCGCAGGUGCUACCUCUUUCUUUUGUGGGGAGUUUAAAUGCCAGAGCCUCGCUCGCCUCCUCACGUGGAAAUGUUCCGUCAAAACAAGUUCUUCCCAUCACAAGUUUGAAGGACAAGCUAGAGAUUGCUUCUAUGCAAAACUAUUGUAACUCAACGACGCCAAAAUACGAAAAAGUGAAAAGCAAUCACAAGGAUUUUGACCACAUCAGGUGUAACAAUGUUUUUUUUAAAACACAGCUGCCAGAAAAACAGCCCAUCUCCUGCAGGGGCCAGGAGUUGGGUUUGGGUUUUAGGUGAUGAAGUGUUUUGCUCAUCCUUGCUUUGUCCUGACGAUUAGUGCUCCCAGCACUUCUUUGUUCGGGUCUUCUGGUGGUCAUGUAGCUCCAGCUCGCUUCAUAUAGCGCUGCUGUGUUGAGACACAAAACCAGCGCGGCGGAUCAGCGGCUAACCGCUGCUGUUUUCACUGACCGACCGCGACUAAAACAAAGCAGCCGCGGACAAAAGAAACACAAUGAAGGUAGGCCUGAAACCCCGAGAGAACACAAGAACGAGGGGCGAAGGGCACAGACACACACGCACACUUACAGUGCACGUGUGAAGGCAAAGAUGUGCGCACACCCAUCCCACGUGCACUCACACGUUUACAUGCAGAAGCGAGCGAAAAUGAGCCACAGAGAGUCAAGCAAACACUUUCAUUCGCCUCUAAAGUGUGUGUGUGUGUGUAUGUGUGUGUGUCGGGGCCCCACAUUGUCCGGUGAAUGGAAGAACGCAGACAAUGAAAGACUCUCAGGACGGUGCGUAAAGAUGAAUGUGUGUGUGAAAGAAGCAGCUCUGAUGUUCAUCGCCGUGGUACCCGAGGUCAA